RNAcentral lists this transfer RNA (62 nucleotides) under Scotomedes sp. HL-2012. Its description in RNAcentral is "tRNA-Thr". Lineage: Eukaryota; Metazoa; Arthropoda; Insecta; Hemiptera; Velocipedidae. The record is from RNAcentral.
GUUUUAAUAGUUUAAAUAAAACAAUGAUUUUGUAAAUCAUAAAUAGGAAUCCCUUUAAAACU